RNAcentral lists this transfer RNA (71 nucleotides) under Loxodonta africana (African savanna elephant). It matches the Rfam family "tRNA". From Rfam's summary of the family: Transfer RNA (tRNA) molecules are approximately 80 nucleotides in length. Their secondary structure includes four short double-helical elements and three loops (D, anti-codon, and T loops). Further hydrogen bonds mediate the characteristic L-shaped molecular structure. tRNAs have two regions of fundamental functional importance: the anti-codon, which is responsible for specific mRNA codon recognition, and the 3' end, to which the tRNAs corresponding amino acid is attached (by aminoacyl-tRNA synthetases). tRNAs cope with the degeneracy of the genetic code in two manners: having more than one tRNA (with a specific anti-codon) for a particular amino acid; and 'wobble' base-pairing, i.e. permitting non-standard base-pairing at the 3rd anti-codon position. Lineage: Eukaryota; Metazoa; Chordata; Mammalia; Proboscidea; Elephantidae. The record is from Rfam by way of RNAcentral.
GCAGUGGUAGUUCAGUGGCAGAAUUCUCGCCUUCUAUUUGGGAGACUCAAGUUUGAUUCCUGACCCCUGUG